GAGGAGCCAGACAUGGCGAUCCAUAGCAUCUGUUCUACUUGGUCGGAGGGAGAGAAUAUCUUGUUCAUACGCCGGGAGAAGCUUUCGGAUCAUAUCUCUGUUCCAAGAUUUAGAGACAGGGCAGAGGAGAUUUGCGACUGUUAAGUGUUGGCUGAGCUCUGUUGGUGGUCCCAUGGGAGUAGUCGUCUUUGAGAGAGACACCCAUGGUUCGUACCACAACAAAGUAUUGGCACCAAAUCCAAUUACCUUUCUGAGAUGAGUUUUUAGGAGAUCACGACCAAGGCAGAUCCCUCGCCAUCCAUGAGAUGCAGUUGGUGACACCUUGCAGUCCAGGAAAGGAGAGGUCUUGCAAUAUUUUCCUAGGAGAAGUUUGGCCAGUAAGCAGGAGGGAUUGGAGAGAAUUCUCCAACUGAUCUUAGCAAGGAGAGCAUCAUUGAAAUUAGCAGAGGAGUCCCACCAGAAUCUGGUGAGAGCUGACUGGAUUCUUUUACAGAGAGAUCCUGGGAUUUUGAAGCACAACAUUGUAUAGGUGUCUUUGCAGAGAAGCUUUGCUCAUCAGUUCUACAAAAGAACAUGGUGUCGUCGGCGAAGAGUAGGUGAUUUACUCUUGGGCAGCCUAACGCAAUUCUGACUCCAGGUGCUUGAGCGGGAUUUAGAGGUUUUCGAGCGUUAUUGGGCUUGUUCGGGCCAAAAAUGAUCGAGAGAAGAAGUAGCGGAUACUAGUGACUGGGAUCGAUCGAUACUCAUUAAACGACCAUCUAAUGAUCUUUUAUCUCUAAAAGAGUUCUUUCUUAUUCAUAUUUCAUGAAGACAUUUCUUUAAAUGCUUUGACAUUAAUUAUCGAUUGUUGACUUAAUUGUAGAUAUUAUUUAUGACUAAAUGUUAAUAUGAAUACAACAUCAUU
Arabidopsis lyrata subsp. lyrata is the source of this 904-nucleotide long non-coding RNA. RefSeq lists it as uncharacterized. The transcript is spliced from 5 exons. The record is from RefSeq and is a predicted model, not a curated record. Lineage: Eukaryota; Viridiplantae; Streptophyta; Magnoliopsida; Brassicales; Brassicaceae.